RNAcentral lists this long non-coding RNA (514 nucleotides) under Rattus norvegicus (Norway rat). RNAcentral describes it as "long non-coding RNA NONRATT002112". The record is from RNAcentral. Lineage: Eukaryota; Metazoa; Chordata; Mammalia; Rodentia; Muridae.
GUUUCUCUCUCUCUCUCUCUCUCUCUCUCUCUCUCUCUCUCUCUCUCUCCCUCCCUCCCUCCCUCCCUCCCCCCCCAUUUACUUAUUUUAUGUAGGAGUGCUCUAUCUAUAUGUACACCUGCAUGCCAGAAGAGGGUAUCAGUUCCUAGAAUAGAUGGUUGUGAGCCACCAUGUGGUUGCUGGGAAUUGAACUCUCUGGAAGAGCAGACAGUGCUCUUAACCACUGAACCAUCUCUCCAACCCUAUUCCUUCCUUCUUCCCUCUCUCCUUCCCUCCCUUUCUCCCUCCCAUUCAUUUAAAAGAUAAAAAAAUUAAGUGUAAGAUUAAUAAAAAAUGAUCUCAUUGAAGUCAGACAAGACAAACCAACAGAAGUUAAAGAGCCCAGAGAAGGCAGAGGAUCAGAGACCCACUCAUUUGCACACUCAGGAAUCCCAUUCCUUCCACCAAAGUGGAAGCCAUCAUAUAUAUGCAGAGGAACUGGUGCAGACUGGUGCAGGCCCUGCGCUUGCUGCCU